RNAcentral lists this unclassified non-coding RNA (635 nucleotides) under Melitaea cinxia (Glanville fritillary). Its description in RNAcentral is "misc RNA ENSMCXG00005017959.1". Lineage: Eukaryota; Metazoa; Arthropoda; Insecta; Lepidoptera; Nymphalidae. The record is from RNAcentral.
CACAAAACUCGGCUCCUUCAAGUAAACACACGCGCUCACGCACACAUAUGCAUCAAACUACGCUCAUUUUCGUUAGUAUCUCACGGGGCCUCGUACAGUAACUUUGCCUAUAAAAUGCCGUUCUUUUGUAAUUAAAUGGUGCAAAAACAAUACCAAAGUGAACAAAAGGUCUGAAGAAAUAUCGUUUCACACGACCUACCGGAUGAGUCUAAAAUCAGUCGUUAACCAAGAUUCAAUCUUUGAUACACCUAGAAAACAUAAACUAAGAGAAAAGUUAAAAAGCAGGAACUUUAUUUAAAAAAAAAAUGUAAAAAAAUUAAAUCAUUACAGCAAACAGUUAGACAUCUUUAAAACAGGAACUUGCCCUUCAGAGGAAUCAUCAAUUACUUAAAAACGCAAUUUUCAUUGACACAGAUUUAUAUAAUUCAUUAAAUUAAAACAUGGCUGCAAUAGAUUUAUUUAACAAUUUGAAGCGAAAAAAGGAGUAAAUAUAUUUAAAACUAUAAACAGAUUUUUAUUUUCGAAUACCCAUUUUACCUAUAUUAAAUUAAUUGUGUUUAAUCCCACUUAAUAAAAUUUUCAGGGACUUUUUUUAAAAAGUGUCAACACUUCACUCACUCACACAUAUUUAAAAA